RNAcentral lists this ribosomal RNA (226 nucleotides) under uncultured eukaryote. RNAcentral's name for it is "partial 18S ribosomal RNA". It matches the Rfam family "Eukaryotic small subunit ribosomal RNA", at positions 930 to 1152 of the family's 1831-position model. The record is from RNAcentral.
UGAAGACUAACUACUGCGAAAGCAUUUUGCCAAGGAUGUUUUUCAUUAAUCAGUGAACGAAAGUUAGGGGAUCGAAGACGAUCAGAUACCGUCGUAGUCUUAACCGUAAACUAUGCCGACUAGGGAUCGGGCGAUGUUCUUUUUCUGACUCGCUCGGCACCUUACGAGAAAUCAAAGUUUUUGGGUUCUGGGGGGAGUAUGGUCGCAAGGCUGAAACUUAAAGAAA